UGGGGAAUUUUGGACAAUGGGCGCAAGCCUGAUCCAGCAAUGCCGCGUGCAGGAUGAAGGCCUUCGGGUUGUAAACUGCUUUUGUACGGAACGAAACGGCUCUGGUUAAUACCUGGGGCUGAUGACGGUACCGUAAGAAUAAGCACCGGCUAACUACGUGCCAGCAGCCGCGGUAAUACGUAGGGUGCAAGCGUUAAUCGGAAUUACUGGGCGUAAAGCGUGCGCAGGCGGUGAUGUAAGGCAGGUGUGAAAUCCCCGGGCUUAACCUGGGAAUUGCAUUUGUGACUGCAUCGCUGGAGUGCGGCAGAGGGGGAUGGAAUUCCGCGUGUAGCAGUGAAAUGCGUAGAUAUGCGGAGGAACACCGAUGGCGAAGGCAAUCCCCCGGGCCUGCACUGACGCUCAUGCACGAAAGCGUGGGGAGCAAACA
RNAcentral lists this ribosomal RNA (427 nucleotides) under uncultured bacterium. RNAcentral's name for it is "bacterial SSU rRNA". It matches the Rfam family "Bacterial small subunit ribosomal RNA", at positions 355 to 774 of the family's 1533-position model. The record is from RNAcentral.